AUACAGAGGGUGCGAGCGUUAAUCGGAUUUACUGGGCGUAAAGCGUGCGUAGGCGGCUUUUUAAGUCGGAUGUGAAAUCCCUGAGCUUAACUUAGGAAUUGCAUUCGAUACUGGGAAGCUAGAGUAUGGGAGAGGAUGGUAGAAUUCCAGGUGUAGCGGUGAAAUGCGUAGAGAUCUGGAGGAAUACCGAUGGCGAAGGCAGCCAUCUGGCCUAAUACUGACGCUGAGGUACGAAAGCAUGGGGAGCAAACAGGAUUAGAGACCCUUGUAGUCC
RNAcentral lists this ribosomal RNA (274 nucleotides) under uncultured bacterium. Its description in RNAcentral is "partial 16S ribosomal RNA". It matches the Rfam family "Bacterial small subunit ribosomal RNA", at positions 523 to 796 of the family's 1533-position model. The record is from RNAcentral.